RNAcentral lists this long non-coding RNA (1069 nucleotides) under Lonchura striata (white-rumped munia). RNAcentral's name for it is "domestica (Bengalese finch) lncRNA (ENSLSDG00000007608.1)". Lineage: Eukaryota; Metazoa; Chordata; Aves; Passeriformes; Estrildidae. The record is from RNAcentral.
NNNNNNNNNNNNNNNNNNNNNNNNNNNNNNNNNUGUGCACGUGCGUGUGUGUGCCAGGGCUGUGCACAUCCACACACAUGUGCCAGCGUGUUCAUGCGUGUGCAUCCAUGCAUGUGCAGGACUGUGUACAUCUAUACAUGUGUGCCAGGCGUUUUCAUACGUGUGCACCCAUGUGUGCAUCCACGUGUGUGCCAGGGCUGUGCUCAUCCAUACCUGUGUGCCAGGCGUGUUCAUGCAUGUGCAUCCACAUGUGUGUUCAUGCGUGUGUCAGGUCUGUGCACAUCCACAUGUCUGUGCCAGGCGUGUUCAUGCGUGUGCAUCCAUGUGUGUACCAGGACUGUGUACAUCUGUACAUGUGUGCCAGGCAUUUUCAUGUGUGUGCACCCACGUCUGUGCUCAUGCGUGUGCCAGGGCUGUGUACAUCCACACACGUGUGCCAGCCGUGUUCAUGCGUGUGCAUCCAUGUGUGUGCAUCCACGUGUGUGCCAGGGCUGUGCACAUCCGCACGCAUGUGCCAGCCGUGUUCACGCAUGUGCUCACGUGUGUGCCAGGGCUGUGCACAUCCACACACGUGUGUGCCAGGCGUGUUCACGCAAGUGCUCAUUCAUAUGCCAGGGCCGUGCACAUCCACACACGUGUGUGCCAGGCGUGUUCAUGCAUGUGCUCAUGCACGUGCCAGGACCGUGUGCUCACGCAUGUGCCAGGGCUGUGCACAUCCACACACAUGUGCCAGGCGUGUUCACGCGUGUGCUCACGCGUGUGCCAGGGCGGGACAGGGCCCGGUGCCGGCGGCGGCGCCCGACACGUGUCGCGGUCGCGGUGUAAUUUGUCCCGUGACGCCGGGCAGCUCGAGGUUUGUAUUUAAUUACAGCGAUGGCGCCAACCCCAGCUCACCCUUCUCCAUCAAUAAUGCAUGCGUUUGUGUUUAUCGCUGCUUAAUUAAUCUGCGCUUACGACAAUUAAAGGCUCCCAAAAUCCCCCACGGUGGCAGCGGGGAGCGGCUGCGCCGGGCUGGCGCGGUGGCGGUGCCAGCCUGGCCGUGGUGCCAAGGAGGUCACCGUGGUGGUGU